This is a long non-coding RNA of Drosophila innubila, 696 nucleotides long. RefSeq lists it as uncharacterized. The record is from RefSeq and is a predicted model, not a curated record. Lineage: Eukaryota; Metazoa; Arthropoda; Insecta; Diptera; Drosophilidae. The transcript is spliced from 2 exons.
AAAGCGAUCAAAUUAAUAAAAAUAACUGCAUAACAAAUGGAAUUUAAGCAUUUUUGGAUUAACUGGAAUAAUGAUGUAGAUGUGGCAGCAAACGUUGUGUCAGUGGAGUUUACGAAGUAUUGGACAUACAUAUGUACAUAUAUGUGGAAUUCCAGCCAGUGUUUUCUUUUGGAGCACCAUCAACACACAGGCAGGAUGAAGAAUUUUUUCAAGGAGCAGGUGCGUCUACUUCUGGAUUGUUGGCUGUUGGAAACUGACCUCAGCAGCUUAUCAGUUUUCUAUAAGGAGAGUGGAAAUAAUCAAAGUAAAUAUAUUGGAAAAUACACUGAAGUGAAAACAACUUCGUUAUAUUAGCAGAAAAUCUAUAGAAGGUUAGGCAGCGUCUACUUACAAUAUUAUGCACCUGCAGAGAGUAUUAUAAUUUUGUCACUACAUAUGUAACGUUAUGUAUAUAAAUCCUUGAUCUGGUCGUGUGCCUCUGUCAAGGAAAGGAUAUGUCGCUAUAUCAAAAAGCUGCCGUAGGUAUGACGGGUUAAAAAUCAAACUUUAAUCUAAAAAGUAGCAUUAUUUUUUAAAACAUAUCACCCAUUCUCACAGUUCAGGCAAUUAAUGUUGUUAUUGAUGAUUAAAAUAAGACUGUCAAUAGACUCUUCAAUCAAACAGUCAAGAAUAAAUUAAGCAGCUUUUGAAGUUGAA